GACGAACGCUGGCGGCGUGCUUAACACAUGCAAGUCGAACGGAAAGGCCCUGCUUUUGUGCGGUGCUCGAGUGGCGAACGGGUGAGUAACACGUGAGUAACCUGCCCUUGACUUUGGGAUAACUUCAGGAAACUGGGGCUAAUACCGGAUAGGAGCUCCUGCUGCAUGGUGGGGGUUGGAAAGUUUCGGCGGUUGGGGAUGGACUCGCGGCUUAUCAGCUUGUUGGUGGGGUAGUGGCUUACCAAGGCUUUGACGGGUAGCCGGCCUGAGAGGGUGACCGGCCACAUUGGGACUGAGAUACGGACCAGACGCCAACGGGAGGCAGCAGUGGGGAAUAUUGCACAAUGGGCGGAAGCCUGAUGCAGAAACGCCGCGUGCGGGAUGACGGCCUUCGGGUUGAAAACCGCUGUCGCCUGUGACGAAGCGUGAGUGACGGUAAUGGGUAAAGAAGCACCGGCUAACUACGUG
RNAcentral lists this ribosomal RNA (468 nucleotides) under uncultured bacterium. RNAcentral's name for it is "partial 16S ribosomal RNA". It matches the Rfam family "Bacterial small subunit ribosomal RNA", at positions 28 to 507 of the family's 1533-position model. The record is from RNAcentral.